Long non-coding RNA from Gasterosteus aculeatus aculeatus (three-spined stickleback), 436 nucleotides. The record is from Ensembl. NCBI's taxonomy places the organism in Eukaryota, Metazoa, Chordata, Actinopteri, Perciformes, Gasterosteidae.
GUGUUUUUCACGUACACUAACGGGGGCGGGCUCUCCCUCUGCAUAUUCAUAAUAGCUUGAAAUCAAGGAGAGACAAUAUACUUGAUGCUAAUACAAAACAAUCAGAAUAGGAGCAGUACAGACAUUAUUUACAUUAGAAACAAUCAUGAAGAGGAUUGAAGGUUUAUAAUGAGGCAGUGGUCAGGAACAGCUGACUCCCUCCUACACACACACCAAAAUACAUUUGCAUUAUUCCCUCCUCUCCAUCCUGCAUCCAUCCUUCUCCUUAGCCCUUGUGUCACCCCUCCCUCUCCCAGCAUCCUAUUGGACCAUCUGUCCUGUCAGACUAGUUGUCCAGCUGCGAUCAGGGGAUGCUAGCAGCCUUGUUAAUGUAGCAGCUGACCCGGUAUAAUGACGGAAGUUCCGGCAGCCAAAGCGGAGUGACAUGACAGGUUCU